UGAUCGGAAGACCUGCUCAUUUCCAUUAGA
RNAcentral lists this non-coding RNA (30 nucleotides) under Homo sapiens (human). Lineage: Eukaryota; Metazoa; Chordata; Mammalia; Primates; Hominidae. The record is from RNAcentral.